UCCGUAGGCGGAUAAUUAAGUCAGAGGUGAAAUCCCACAGCUCAACUGUGGAACUGCCUUUGAUACUGGUUAUCUUGAGUUUUAGUGAAGUAGAUAGAAUAUGUAGUGUAGCGGUGAAAUGCUUAGGUAUUACAUAGAAUACCGAUUGCGAAGGCAGUCUACUAACUAAUAACUGACGCUAAUGGACGAAAGCGUGGGGAGCGAACAGGAUUAGAUACCCUGGUAGUCC
RNAcentral lists this ribosomal RNA (229 nucleotides) under uncultured bacterium. RNAcentral describes it as "partial 16S ribosomal RNA". It matches the Rfam family "Bacterial small subunit ribosomal RNA", at positions 568 to 796 of the family's 1533-position model. The record is from RNAcentral.